Molecule: long non-coding RNA, 2006 nt
Filed under: Heterocephalus glaber (naked mole-rat)
Lineage: Eukaryota; Metazoa; Chordata; Mammalia; Rodentia; Bathyergidae
Description: lncRNA (ENSHGLG00100042863.1)
Source: RNAcentral
GUCCGUCAGAGUCCGCGCUGAGGGCAUAGAGAGCGAAAAGUCCGGCCAGACCGCUUUCCUCCCGAGAGCGGACGCGGCCGGCUAGGAUUCUCCGGGACAACGAGCGAAGGCGCUGGGCGGGGCCUUGCCGUUCCGCGGGACGCCGGGAAGGGGGUCACUCUCCGAGAGAGGUUCCGGUUCCGGGGCCGGCGGCCGAUUUCCCCGCGGGAGUGGGCCUGGGGCGGGCGGUUCGUCCCCUCUCCCAGGUGAGCGUCUCGGGGUUUCGGGGGCCGCGGCCGACUCGGUCAGGCCUCUGCCUCGGCCCCGCCACGUUCGUAGGCGCUGAGGACCCGGCCGCCCCGGGACUCCCGACUCCGGCGCGCGGCUCUGUCUCUGGGACGGUUUUUACCCAUCUCCUGUGUGCCGCGCGCGCCCUGACCUGUGUGGUCGCUGGGUUUCAGGCCCUGCGGCCAUCCACCCCGCCUUUGCCCACGCGCUUGGCCUCAGGAAAGGUUUUUUGCACAGAGAACCACAGUGAAUGGAUGGCGGGCCCUUGGCGCGCGCCUGCAGUCUCAGCACUCGGAGGCUGAAGCAGGAGGAUCGCUUGAACCGGGAAGUUCUAGACCAAUCUGGACCAUGGAGGGGGAACUUGUCUCGGAAAAAGAAAUCCAUUGAUUCCAGGUAAACCAGAGAAACAAGCAUCCUGAGAAAUGGUACACACGUGGAAAAUGCUACUGUGCUGAAGCAACUUGUUUCAGAAGCCAGUGAAGUAGGGAAUAUACUAAAUUCCUUCCAAAAGCAUCCAUCCAUUUAUUCAUGCUUAUACUGGACCCCAGGGCCGGAAGCACGGAUGUUAUGAAAGUUGCAUUUGACUUUCAAACCAAAACCCAACAUGCAAACAAGCCAGCUUCAGAGUGCACAGCUGUUGAAACCCGAAGGACAACACUCCAAGGAGUCACAUUAAGUAGCCCAGGCUGGCCUUGAACUGGUGGUGAUCUUCCUGCCUCAGCCUCCUGAGUGCUGGGAUUACACAGAUCUCAAAAGUCAGAAGUGACUCAAAGUCACACAGCUCAUCAGUGGCAUGAACAAGGGCCAGGUCUAGGGAGGGGUCUUCAGAUCCUGUCCUGUGCCUCCUGCACACUUGAUAUUUAUAUUUUAUAAAAGCAGCAAAGCUAGGUGUGGUGGCGCAUGCCUGCAAUCCCAGCACUCAAGAGGCUGAGGCAGGAGGAUCGCAGUGAAUUCACCAGCCUGGGCUACACAGUGAGUUCAAGGACAGCCUCAACUGCAUAGUGAGACCUUGUCUCAAAAACAACAACAAGAGCAGCUCAAUUCCACGUGCCUGGAGAAGCAUCCUGAGUUACUGCCAUCCCUGCACUUGCCACUGAGAUGACUCCCUGCCACCCUCAGUGGCUGGGUAGCAUAGGCCCCUGAGGUGAACAUCCGACCCAGAGAAACCAACCAAGCAGGCUGGGGGGUCUCCCCAAGAAGCACGCGGGGAACCCCAGUGGGAAGGGAGAAGCCAACGCUUGAAGAACUGGGAAACAGAAAACAAAGAAAGAGCAGAAGAAGCUGAGAGCAGAGCUCGGUUGAGAACCAGCUCUCCAUGCCCAGUCUGGGACUUCACUGAUGGGGCACCCCAGAAAUGGACACCCCCCCCAUGACUUACUCUACCGCUUCCAGGGAAGCCGGAUAGAGACAGAAAUGGGAUCUGCAAUUUCCAGAACAUCAAUUACUACCUGGGGACCCUGGGCAGGGCCUCUCCUUCCUGUGCUAUGGCCUCAGUUUACCCAUUUGUACAAUGAGGGGCUACUAGCUGGAGAAGCCAUUUCGGCUUUUCUCCUCACCCCGGUGUGGAGACGUAAACACACGACAACACAACACACCUACAAGAUGAGAGCCAUACAGACUGCAGCGGGAGCUGGCUGACCAAUGGCCGGUGCGGAGGCAAACCCAAAUUGUGCCCCCAGCUUAUUAUAUCAGCCCCUGCUUCCCCGUGAGGGGUGGUGGAGAUGCUGGCUGCAGAAAAG